CACGUAGUUAGCCGGUGCUUCUUAUACAGGUACCGUCACAAAAAGCUUCGUCCCUGUCGAAAGGAGUUUACAACCCGAAGGCCGUCAUCCCCCACGCGGCGUCGCUGCAUCAGGCUUCCGCCCAUUGUGCAAUAUUCCCCACUGCUGCCUCCCGUAGGAGUCUGGGCCGUAUCUCAGUCCCAAUGUGGCCGUACACCCUCUCAGGCCGGCUACCCGUCGACGCCUUGGUAGGCCAUUACCCCACCAACAAGCUGAUAGGCCGCGAGCUCAUCUUGCACCGAAAAAACUUUCCAACCACCACACUAAAGGCAGUUCAUAUCCGGUAUUAGACCCAGUUUCCCAAGCUUAUCCCAGAGUGCAAGGCAGAUCACCCACGUGUUACUCACCCGUUCGCCACUCGAGUACCCCUUGCAAGCAAGAGGCCUUUCCGUUCGACUUGCAUGUGUUAAGCACGCCGCCAGCGUUCGUCCUGAGCCAGGAUCAAACUCU
Molecule: ribosomal RNA, 489 nt
Filed under: uncultured Corynebacterium sp.
Lineage: Bacteria; Bacillati; Actinomycetota; Actinomycetes; Mycobacteriales; Corynebacteriaceae
Description: partial 16S ribosomal RNA
Source: RNAcentral